AGAUAGUCUAGCACCCGUUUUUUUAGCCUUCCAGCUAAUUCUAUACACCAAGAUUCAUCCAGCACCUCUGACCGAUCACAACCUCGACAAUGAUAUCAGAUGCAGCGCUCCUGGAAAGCGUGUGGAAGCCCUCACCCAACCCGGAAGACAUGUGUCGAUGCGCAAGCACCAACAACAAAAAAGGUGUCAGGAAUAGGCGGGGCUGAUCCGCGAGUUGAUGCGGGAGUUUUCCUGGCAGCAGAGCACAGGGCCUUCAAAGUCUGUGAGGGGUGUUGCGGUGCUGCUAGUGGAGCAGCGAGGCCCGGAACCGGAGUAGCAGAACCCCUAGAGUCGUCAGGAGUUUCCUUCCCCAAGGGAGCGUGCCCGUCGUCAUCCUCAUCCCAAUCCUCCGAUUCUGAUUAUCGGAGGCGGAGAAAGAGAGGACGGUGCUGUGCGCGAAAAGAAGCGACAGUUUUCAUCAAGGGGAAGCUGCAGGACCUUGAGCAAGUAAUUGUGUGCAUUGUUUGAAGUGUUAUUCAGCAGGGUUGUGAUGAUGUAUCAAUUGCUUGACACGCUGUUGUGACGUGAAUAAUGUGCUGGAAUGUCACUCUUCUGUAUGUUAAAUAAG
Molecule: long non-coding RNA, 607 nt
Filed under: Betta splendens (Siamese fighting fish)
Lineage: Eukaryota; Metazoa; Chordata; Actinopteri; Anabantiformes; Osphronemidae
Description: lncRNA (ENSBSLG00000024712.1)
Source: RNAcentral